Molecule: ribosomal RNA, 950 nt
Filed under: Lacticaseibacillus rhamnosus
Lineage: Bacteria; Bacillati; Bacillota; Bacilli; Lactobacillales; Lactobacillaceae
Description: bacterial SSU rRNA
Rfam family: Bacterial small subunit ribosomal RNA
Source: RNAcentral
UGCAGUCGAACGAGUUCUGAUUAUUGAAAGGUGCUUGCAUCUUGAUUUAAUUUUGAACGAGUGGCGGACGGGUGAGUAACACGUGGGUAACCUGCCCUUAAGUGGGGGAUAACAUUUGGAAACAGAUGCUAAUACCGCAUAAAUCCAAGAACCGCAUGGUUCUUGGCUGAAAGAUGGCGUAAGCUAUCGCUUUUGGAUGGACCCGCGGCGUAUUAGCUAGUUGGUGAGGUAACGGCUCACCAAGGCAAUGAUACGUAGCCGAACUGAGAGGUUGAUCGGCCACAAUGGGACUGAGACACGGCCCAAACUCCUACGGGAGGCAGCAGUAGGGAAUCUUCCACAAUGGACGCAAGUCUGAUGGAGCAACGCCGCGUGAGUGAAGAAGGCUUUCGGGUCGUAAAUCUCUGUUGUUGGAGAAGAAUGGUCGGCAGAGUAACUGUUGUCGGCGUGACGGUAUCCAACCAGAAAGCCACGGCUAACUACGUGCCAGCAGCCGCGGUAAUACGUAGGUGGCAAGCGUUAUCCGGAAUUUUUGGGCGUAAAGCGAGCGCAGGCGGAUUUUAAAGUCUGAUGUGAAAGCCCUCGGCUUAACCGAGGAAGUGCAUCGGAAACUGGGAAACUUGAGUGCAGAAGAGGACAAUGGAACUCCAUGUGUAGCGGUGAAAUGCGUAGAUAUAUGGAAGAACACCAGUGGCGAAGGCGGCUGUCUGGUCUGUAACUGACGCUGAGGCUCGAAAGCAUGGGUAGCGAACAGGAUUAGAUACCCUGGUAGUCCAUGCCGUAAACGAUGAAUGCUAGGUGUUGGAGGGUUACCGCCCUUCAGUGCCGCAGCUAACGCAUUAAGCAUUCCGCCUGGGGAGUACGACCGCAAGGUUGAAACUCAAAGGAAUUGACGGGGGCCCGCACAAGCGGUGGAGCAUGUGGUUUAAUUCGAAGCAACGCGAAGAACC